Molecule: long non-coding RNA, 862 nt
Filed under: Sinocyclocheilus anshuiensis
Lineage: Eukaryota; Metazoa; Chordata; Actinopteri; Cypriniformes; Cyprinidae
Description: lncRNA (ENSSANG00000025866.1)
Source: RNAcentral
AGACAUUGCGGGAUCUUCAACGGUCGAGAUUCGGGAGCGGCAAGAGGAGCGAUUCACAGCUGUGGUAAGUGACUUAUUACAGCAUUUUUAUUGUUCAUGUUUGUAGUAUAUGAAGGUAUCUAUGUUCGCGGUUCAUAUUGGUAACCCCGGAUUCACGCAUCCUCCGUCCGCGGGGCGCGGGGUUUCAGCAGCGCGGUCGCGGUAGGAUUUCACACAUUCCCCGGUGUUAUAGCAGCUAUGGGCAGAAAAUCUCUGGGUUCCUAUGUUAAGAAUUACAUGCUUCGAUGACAACAGUUGUGAUUCACAGGAACUUCGUGUUGAUCAGCACACUUUGUCGUGAUUAUUUUACGGUGUAAAUCAGAUUAGCACAGGCAGUCGUUUGUUAACACGGGCACUGAAAUGAAAACGUGCGCUAAAGCCUUGCGCUCAGCCCGCUCACGGAGGAUGUGUGUGUGGUGUAAAUUCUGAACGGUGCUGUUAAAGCGGUUAACGUUACCAGCGAAAGGUGUAUUUGAGGACCUUUGCUAACUUGCUAAUUUGCUUAUUAUUUGUUUGUAAUGCCUCUUGUUGUCUUUGGUUUAAAAGAAUGAGUUAAUCCAGCCCAGCUUCUUGUCUGGCCUUGCCUCUCUGUUCACAGCAUAUUACACCAGGAGGACACCACCAGAACUCUGGACUUCAUUCAAAGGCACUCUGUAGGUAUUAAUCCGGAGAGAGGAACAAUGAAGUUGAAAGGAAAAGUGGCAUCUAAAACAACAGGACAAAUGGUACAGAAGAAGCAGCUUGAAGUGAACCCACAUGUUGUCACUCUUCUUUGCAAAGUGAAGGAUUUUCAGUGGAAUUUCUGAAAUGUAAGUGCACACAC